CAAAUACUCCCUCCAUCCCAAAAUUCUUGUCUUAGAUUUGUCUAAAUAUGAAUGCAUCUAGUCAUGUUAUAGUAUUUAGAUACAUCUAUUUCUAGACAAACCUAAGACAAGAAUUUUGGGACGAAGGGAGUAUAUA
RNAcentral lists this microRNA precursor (136 nucleotides) under Hordeum vulgare. RNAcentral's name for it is "microRNA MIR1122". It matches the Rfam family "MIR1120/MIR1122 microRNA precursor family". Lineage: Eukaryota; Viridiplantae; Streptophyta; Magnoliopsida; Poales; Poaceae. The record is from RNAcentral.